UACAGAGGGUGCAAGCGUUAAUCGGAAUUACUGGGCGUAAAGCGUGCGUAGACGGUUAUGUAAGUCGGGUGUGAAAGCCCCGGGCUCAACCUGGGAAUUGCAUUCGAGACUGUGUAGCUAGGGUACGGAAGAGGGAAGCGGAAUUUCAGGUGUAGCGGUGAAAUGCGUAGAUAUCUGAAGGAACACCAGUGGCGAAAGCGGCUUCCUGGUCCAGUACCGACGUCAGGCACGAAAGCGUGGGGAGCAAACAGG
Molecule: ribosomal RNA, 252 nt
Filed under: uncultured bacterium
Lineage: Bacteria
Description: partial 16S ribosomal RNA
Rfam family: Bacterial small subunit ribosomal RNA
Source: RNAcentral